RNAcentral lists this ribosomal RNA (492 nucleotides) under uncultured Actinomycetes bacterium. RNAcentral describes it as "bacterial SSU rRNA". It matches the Rfam family "Bacterial small subunit ribosomal RNA", at positions 355 to 857 of the family's 1533-position model. The record is from RNAcentral. Lineage: Bacteria; Bacillati; Actinomycetota; Actinomycetes.
UGGGGAAUAUUGCGCAAUGGGCGAAAGCCUGACGCAGCGACACCGCGUGCGGGAUGAAGGCCUUCGGGUUGUAAACCGCUUUCGGCAGGGAAGAAGCGAAAGUGACGGUACCUGCAGAAGAAGCUCCGGCUAACUACGUGCCAGCAGCCGCGGUAAGACGUAGGGAGCGAGCGUUAUCCGGAUUCAUUGGGCGUAAAGCGCGCGUAGGCGGCUUUGCAAGUCGGGUGUGAAAACCAGAGGCUCAACCUCUGGCCUGCAUCCGAAACUGCAUCGCUAGAGGUAGGUAGGGGAGAUCGGAAUUCCUGGUGUAGCGGUGAAAUGCGCAGAUAUCAGGGAGGAACACCGGUGGCGAAGGCGGAUCUCUGGGCCUUACCUGACGCUGAGGUGCGAAAGCUAGGGGAGCGAACAGGAUUAGAUACCCUGGUAGUCCUAGCCGUAAACGUUGGACACUAGGUGUGGGCGGUCAUCAACCCGUCCGUGCCGCAGCUAACG